RNAcentral lists this ribosomal RNA (496 nucleotides) under uncultured bacterium. RNAcentral's name for it is "partial 16S ribosomal RNA". It matches the Rfam family "Bacterial small subunit ribosomal RNA", at positions 28 to 507 of the family's 1533-position model. The record is from RNAcentral.
GAUGAACGCUGGCGGCGUGCCUAAUACAUGCAAGUCGAGCGAACAGAUGAGGAGCUUGCUCCUCUGACGUUAGCGGCGGACGGGUGAGAACACGUGGAUAACCUACCUAUAAGACUGGGAUAACUUCGGGAAACCGGAGCUAAUACCGGAUAAUAUAUUGAACCGCAUGGUUCAAUAGUGAAAGACGGUUUUGCUGUCACUUAUAGAUGGAUCCGCGCCGCAUUAGCUAGUUGGUAAGGUAACGGCUUACCAAGGCAACGAUGCGUAGCCGACCUGAGAGGGUGAUCGGCCACACUGGAACUGAGACACGGUCCAGACUCCUACGGGAGGCAGCAGUAGGGAAUCUUCCGCAAUGGGCGAAAGCCUGACGGAGCAACGCCGCGUGAGUGAUGAAGGUCCUCGGAUCGUAAAACUCUGUUAUUAGGGAAGAACAAAUGUGUAAGUAACUAUGCACGUCUUGACGGUACCUAAUCAGAAAGCCACGGCUAACUACGUG